Molecule: ribosomal RNA, 387 nt
Filed under: uncultured bacterium
Lineage: Bacteria
Description: bacterial SSU rRNA
Rfam family: Bacterial small subunit ribosomal RNA
Source: RNAcentral
AUUGAACGCUGGCGGCAUGCUUUACACAUGCAAGUCGAACGGAUUAGAGGGCUUGCUCCUCUAGUUAGUGGCGAACGGGUGAGUAAUGCAUCGGAACGUACCGUGUAGUGGGGGAUAACCCGGCGAAAGUCGGAUUAAUACCGCAUACGAUCUAAGGAUGAAAGCGGGGGAUCGCAAGACCUCGCGCUAUACGAGCGGCCGAUGUCGGAUUAGCUAGUUGGUAGGGUAAAGGCCUACCAAGGCAACGAUCCGUAGCGGGUCUGAGAGGAUGAUCCGCCACACUGGGACUGAGACACGGCCCAGACUCCUACGGGAGGCAGCAGUGGGGAAUUUUGGACAAUGGACGCAAGUCUGAUCCAGCCAUGCCGCGUGAGUGAAGAAGGCCUC